This 511-nucleotide ribosomal RNA is filed under the name Shigella flexneri. RNAcentral describes it as "partial 23S ribosomal RNA". It matches the Rfam family "Bacterial large subunit ribosomal RNA", at positions 1 to 559 of the family's 2925-position model. The record is from RNAcentral. Lineage: Bacteria; Pseudomonadati; Pseudomonadota; Gammaproteobacteria; Enterobacterales; Enterobacteriaceae.
GACUAAGCGUACACGGUGGAUGCCCUGGCAGUCAGAGGCGAUGAAGGACGUGCUAAUCUGCGAUAAGCGUCGGUAAGGUGAUAUGAACCGUUAUAACCGGCGAUUUCCGAAUGGGGAAACCCAGUGUGAUUCGUCACACUAUCAUUAACUGAAUCCAUAGGUUAAUGAGGCGAACCGGGGGAACUGAAACAUCUAAGUACCCCGAGGAAAAGAAAUCAACCGAGAUUCCCCCAGUAGCGGCGAGCGAACGGGGAGCAGCCCAGAGCCUGAAUCAGUGUGUGUGUUAGUGGAAGCGUCUGGAAAGGCGUGCGAUACAGGGUGACAGCCCCGUACACAAAAAUGCACAUACUGUGAGCUCGAUGAGUAGGGCGGGACACGUGGUAUCCUGUCUGAAUAUGGGGGGACCAUCCUCCAAGGCUAAAUACUCCUGACUGACCGAUAGUGAACCAGUACCGUGAGGGAAAGGCGAAAAGAACCCCGGCGAGGGGAGUGAAAAAGAACCUGAAACCGU